GCGUGGGUGGCGAAAUUGGUAGACGCACUACUUUGAGGUGGUAGCGCCCGAAAGGGUGUGAGAGUUCGAAUCUCUUCCCGCGCA
This 84-nucleotide transfer RNA is filed under the name Bacteroidota bacterium. Its description in RNAcentral is "tRNA-Leu". It matches the Rfam family "tRNA". Rfam says of the family: Transfer RNA (tRNA) molecules are approximately 80 nucleotides in length. Their secondary structure includes four short double-helical elements and three loops (D, anti-codon, and T loops). Further hydrogen bonds mediate the characteristic L-shaped molecular structure. tRNAs have two regions of fundamental functional importance: the anti-codon, which is responsible for specific mRNA codon recognition, and the 3' end, to which the tRNAs corresponding amino acid is attached (by aminoacyl-tRNA synthetases). tRNAs cope with the degeneracy of the genetic code in two manners: having more than one tRNA (with a specific anti-codon) for a particular amino acid; and 'wobble' base-pairing, i.e. permitting non-standard base-pairing at the 3rd anti-codon position. The record is from RNAcentral. Lineage: Bacteria; Pseudomonadati; Bacteroidota. RNAcentral also lists the same sequence under 2 other names.